AGCGAACGCUGGCGGCAGGCUUAACACAUGCAAGUCGAACGCCCCGCAAGGGGAGUGGCAGACGGGUGAGUAACACGUGGGAACGUACCCUUUGGUUCGGAAUAACUUGGGGAAACUCAAGCUAAUACCGGAUAAGCCCUUAUGGGGAAAGGUUUACUGCCUAAGGAUCGGCCCGCGUCUGAUUAGCGAGUUGGUGAGGUAAUGGCUCACCAAGGAGACGAUGAGUAGCUGGUCUUAGAGGAUGAUCAGGCACACUGGGACUGAGACACGGCCCAGACUCCUACGUGAGGCAGCAGUGGUGAAUAUUGGAAAAUGGGGGCAACCCUGAUCCAGCCAUGCCGCGUGAGUGAUGAAGGCCUUAGGGUUGUAAACCGCUUUCAGUAGGGAAGAAGCGAAAGUGACGGUCCCUACAAAAGAAGCACCGGCUAACUAUGUGCCAGCCGCCGCCGUAA
This 452-nucleotide ribosomal RNA is filed under the name uncultured bacterium. RNAcentral describes it as "partial 16S ribosomal RNA". It matches the Rfam family "Bacterial small subunit ribosomal RNA", at positions 29 to 523 of the family's 1533-position model. The record is from RNAcentral.